AUUUAUUGGCCCAAGAGCUAGAGUGAUAAAAGUCGUUUAUUACUGAGUUUGGCAGUAAGGAGAUAGGUGAAGGUAGAGAUAAGGAGGGUACAGGACAGAGGGUCCUCCCAUGGCGGCAUGUUUGGAAUCUCUACCAAGAGGCGGUCCUGGGUGGCCCUUUUAUAAUGGGAGACUUAGCUCCAGGGGCUUUGGGGUGUAGCUCCAAAGUUGGCUCAGAUCGGGUGGGGCUGGGACAGGUCCGAUCUUCUAUUGGAAUUCAAAGGGACCAGAAUUUGUGAAUCAAAAGGUAAUUACAUUCACUAGAGGGGUUUGGGAAUCAAAAACAGGAAUCUUUCCCACAUCAGCCCAGAGAUGACCGAUAGGCUUCAGGAGAGGGAAGGCCCCGUGAGACCCCGGGCCCUCCCUGCAGGAUGCCCGGGCCACAGCUUGUGGAGAGGGGCAGCCCAGAGGGGCCCAAAGGGGAGCCCGCGGCCAGGCCGUCUUCUCCAGGAGACUCGUGGACCCUGGGACCCCGGAGCCCUCAGUCGGUGUGGGCCAGGCCCCCAGGGAAAGGGAAAAGAUGGGCCCUGCCUUCAAAGGGAGGUCAGGGGCCCCCUUCCUGUGGAGCCCUUCGCCCGGUGACCCCACUUCUCCCCCUAGUGUCGCCCGUCAAUGCAUCACCGCGAGGCAGCCCAGGAUGAAGAAGGCGAGCAGGACCGCCACCUCAGCGCCCAAGCCGCCGGGGACAGCUAAGAGCAAGCUGGACGGCCCCACGGGGGCCAAGCUCCCCAAGUCCGGCUCAAGCUUGCUGACCAAGGCCAAAAGCAACGAUGACCUCCUGGCUGGCGUGGCUGGAGGGGCCCCAGGGACAAGCAGCAUGAGAGGGAAGAAGCCCUGCCCGGCGGCAACCCCUGCCCCCAGCGUCCUCGCCGCGAGCGCCGCCGAGGGCAAGCCCAAGCCCGGCGCAGGUCCUGGCGCCCUCCCUCCCUCGCGGCCCCGUGGUUGGGGGGCUCCCCUUGGCCUCGGUCUGGGGGGGCUGGUUUGGGGGCCAAGGCCUUUCUCCAGCCUGGGCCUGUGGGGCAGACACAGCUCCCCACUCCCAGAGUCCAUGGCCCCCAGCCUCAGGCUUCCCCAUGGAGGAGGCGGGGCUGACUCAGAGCCAUUGUCUCCCUCUGGGAGCGUGUCUGGUCGUCAGGGAAUUUGCUCUUCUGUCCAGCGCGGCCUGAGAGAACAAGGCCCGUGCCUGGCCCUGGCGGGACAGAGCGUGCACACCCCCUCUUCCCCCCUCCCGCCCCCGCUCCCCGCCCCGGGGUCCAGUUUUGUGCCCCCUGUUGGAGGCUUUGGAGCCCAGAGCCCUCGGGUCGGGAGGAAGCUUGGAGCUUGGCUCUCCUGGGAGCUCACCCCGACUUCUCAGAGGAGGAAGCUGAAGAAGCUGGGGGUGGGGGUGGAGGGGCAUCCGGUCCGGCCUCCCCUGCCCAGCCUGGCCCAGAGCCUCACCCUUGAUCCCCCUCCUGAAAGGCCCUCCGAGGGCCCGCUCUGGGAAGCCCUCCCUGCUCUCGGAGAUGGCAACCGGGGAGUCUCUUCACCCUUUAGGGCUUCCUGAGUUUGCCCCAUUGUCUGGUCGGAGGGGAGUCACCCCCCCCAAAGAGCCGCUCUGCUCCUUCUAGUUAAGGGCACCUGGGGAGCCCGGAACAUGGGGUGAAAGCCCUGUUUUCUCUGUCCCCACAGGGGCCAACUCCAAAAGAAACACGUCCAUAGCAGGGCAAGAGCCCGGCUCGCCGAGGCAGCUUGAGGCAGCUCCA
Sarcophilus harrisii (Tasmanian devil) is the source of this 1781-nucleotide long non-coding RNA. NCBI's taxonomy places the organism in Eukaryota, Metazoa, Chordata, Mammalia, Dasyuromorphia, Dasyuridae. The record is from Ensembl.